RNAcentral lists this ribosomal RNA (205 nucleotides) under Clostridioides difficile. Its description in RNAcentral is "partial 16S ribosomal RNA". It matches the Rfam family "Bacterial small subunit ribosomal RNA", at positions 889 to 1091 of the family's 1533-position model. The record is from RNAcentral. Lineage: Bacteria; Bacillati; Bacillota; Clostridia; Peptostreptococcales; Peptostreptococcaceae.
CAAGAGUGAAACUCAAAGGAAUUGACGGGGACCCGCACAAGUAGCGGAGCAUGUGGUUUAAUUCGAAGCAACGCGAAGAACCUUACCUAAGCUUGACAUCCCGAUGACAUCUCCUUAAUCGGAGAGUUCCCUUCGGGGACAUUGGUGACAGGUGGUGCAUGGUUGUCGUCAGCUCGUGUCGUGAGAUGUUGGGUUAAGUCCCGCA